UUCACUGUGGCGUAGCGGUUAGCGCUUUUGUCUUCCAAACCAGAAGGGUGAGUUCGAUUCCGAGUGGAG
This is a non-coding RNA of Caenorhabditis brenneri, 69 nucleotides long. Lineage: Eukaryota; Metazoa; Nematoda; Chromadorea; Rhabditida; Rhabditidae. The record is from the annotation of a GenBank genome assembly.